UACCUGAACACUAGCAUUGACU
Molecule: microRNA, 22 nt
Filed under: Salmo salar (Atlantic salmon)
Lineage: Eukaryota; Metazoa; Chordata; Actinopteri; Salmoniformes; Salmonidae
Description: ssa-miR-430a-5p
Gene: ssa-miR-430a-5p
Source: miRBase by way of RNAcentral